Molecule: non-coding RNA, 323 nt
Organism: Pelobates cultripes (western spadefoot toad)
Lineage: Eukaryota; Metazoa; Chordata; Amphibia; Anura; Pelobatidae
Source: the annotation of a GenBank genome assembly
GUCCCCUUGUCACUCAGUCCCCCUGUUCCAUAGUCUUCUGUCAUGGUCAGUCUGUAUAUUCCCCUGUCCUCCUAAUCCCAUAUUUGUCACUGUCCCUCUCUUUGUCACUGUCACUUGGUCUUCCUAAUUCCCUCUAGCUCUGUCAAUGUCACGCUAUCCACAAUUCCUCUGUCCAUCUAGUUUUGUUGUGUCACUACUCCCCUUUUUUCAGGGCAUUAGGUGGUGAACAUAGUGAAACAGGGCUAGAGCAAAAGACACAAUUUAAUAAUUCGAUCACACAAAAUAUUGAAAUCCUUUAAUGGAAAUUAUUUACUUGUAUUAUG